CAGUCGCCGCGGGAAUACGGAGGGAGCUAGCGUUAUUCGGAAUUACUGGGCGUAAAGCGCACGUAGGCGGCUUUGUAAGUAAGAGGUGAAAGCCCGGGGCUCAACCCCGGAAUUGCCUUUUAGACUGCAUCGCUUGAAUCAUGGAGAGGUCAGUGGAAUUCCGAGUGUAGAGGUGAAAUUCGUAGAUAUUCGAAAGAACACCAGUGGCGAAGGCGGCUGACUGGACAUGUAUUGACGCUGAGGUGCGAAAGCGUGGGGAGCAAACAGGAUUAGAUACCCCGGUAGUCCCUGUCUCUUAUAC
This 301-nucleotide ribosomal RNA is filed under the name uncultured bacterium. RNAcentral's name for it is "partial 16S ribosomal RNA". It matches the Rfam family "Bacterial small subunit ribosomal RNA", at positions 509 to 807 of the family's 1533-position model. The record is from RNAcentral.